UGGAAAGAGACUAACUUUAUUGUCACCAAAUGAACAUGAAUAACCGGAUAUGUCCAAUUUGGGAACAGAAAUUAAAUUCCGUCUAAAAGACGGUACUACAAAAGUCUCAUUCAAAUCUAAAUAAAAACCAAUCUUAAACAACAGCCUAAAUUUUCCAAUAGCCUCAACUUGAACCCUUUUGCCUCACCCGCAUAGAUGUAUCUUUCACCAUCAUUUUGUUUUCAGCAGUUCAGGCAACCCUGCAUAGAUAUACUUAUGUGAGUAGUAGCAGCAGAAUCUA
RNAcentral lists this long non-coding RNA (280 nucleotides) under Nicotiana benthamiana. RNAcentral's name for it is "long non-coding RNA (NBEN_LNC019406)". Lineage: Eukaryota; Viridiplantae; Streptophyta; Magnoliopsida; Solanales; Solanaceae. The record is from RNAcentral.